This is a non-coding RNA of Vigna unguiculata (cowpea), 2004 nucleotides long. NCBI's taxonomy places the organism in Eukaryota, Viridiplantae, Streptophyta, Magnoliopsida, Fabales, Fabaceae. The record is from RefSeq and is a predicted model, not a curated record.
UGUUGUCUUUCUCGUUUGUCAUCUGCAUCUCCCAGCGCUAUUUUAUUCAUUUUUCUUCUUCUCAAAGUCGCAGAAUAUGAAACAAAAAGUUCAGAUUUUUUUCUACUUGGCUUAUGAAGGAAGAAAAACCUUCCUAGAAAGGAGGAACAAGUCGGAAUCUCCUUAAAACCUGCGAGGUUUCAAAAGAGAAGCAGAUUCUCAUGUCACUUCCUUCAUUAAAUUAAAGGGUACAUUGUCGUAGAAUUCAGUAUCUGGGUAUGGAAAUUCUCUCGUAUAGCUCUGGACCAUGCUGUCAAGUGGUGAACUUGCAGAGGAAAUCGGAUGAAAAAUGUUCAAAUUCACGGUUUCCCAUUUUCAGAGAGCGUGGAGUUUGUUAUAGCAACACCAUUUAUAGAAGAGGAUCAGUGAGAUUUCAUGAAAACAAGGAGCAGCAAAGAGAUUUGGUUGGGUCUGUGACUGUUACUGAAGGGUGUAAAAGAAUCAAUUGCAAGGCUUAUAGUGACAGAUACGAGGGGUAUGUGAUUAAUGGUGAAAAGGAUUUAACAGAUAUUUCAGGGAUAGAAGAGUCUGCAACUACGAAUGUUGUGAUUCCAGGUUUACCAGAUGGGUCAAAUGGAGAAUGUGGUGCUCCGAUCAGUAGUUGUUUUUGGGAAUGGAGGCCUAAACUCAACGUUCACUACGAUAAGGCAGGGUGUGAGAACGUGGAUUCUCCACCUGUUCUUUUUCUUCCUGGUUUUGGUGUUGGAUCUUUCCAUUAUGAAAAGCAACUGAGAGAUUUGGGGCGUGAUAACAGAGUUUGGGCACUGGAUUUUCUAGGCCAAGGAUUGUCCUUGCCCUUUGAAGAUCCUACUUCAAAUGGAAAUGGUUCUUCAUGGGGCUUCGGAGAUGAAACGCAACCCUGGGCCACUAAUCUUGUGUACUCCAUUGAUUUAUGGCAUGAUCAAGUUCGACACUUCAUAGAAGAGGUCAUUGGUGAAGCAGUGUACAUUGUGGGGAACUCACUGGGAGGAUAUGUGGCAUUGUAUUUUGCGGCACGUAACCCUGAUUUAGUGAAAGGUGUCACACUUCUUAAUGCAACACCCUUUUGGGGUUUCUUCCUAAUCCAAAUAAGAAUCCACGCCUAGCAAAUAUUUUUCCUUGGGCUGGAACAUUUCCCCUACCAGCAAGUGUAAGAAGACUCACAGAGUUGGUGUGGGAGAAAAUUAGUGAUCCUGCAAGUAUUGCAGAGGUACUGAAUCAGGUUUAUGCAGACCAUUCAACGAAGGUAGACGGUUUAAUUUCACACAUUGUAGAAACCACACGGCAUCCUGCAGCAUCAGCAGCUUUUGCUUCGAUCAUGUGUGCUCCUCAAGCAGAGUUAUCUUUCAAUGAAUCAUUAUCCAGAUGUGGAAGAAUGAAUGUGCCAAUUUGCCUCAUGUACGGAAGAGAAGAUCCCUGGGUAAAGCCACUCUGGGGAGUCCAAGUUAAAAGCAAGGUUCCUGAAGCUGCAUAUUAUCAAAUAAGCCCUGCUGGUCACUGUCCUCAUGAUGAAGUUCCUGAGGUGAUAAAUUUCUUGCUACGUGGGUGGAUAAAAAAUGUGGAGUCUCAAGGUUCUAUCUCACUGCCACUGCUUGAUGACUUGGUCUCUGAGGAAGAAGGUAAUGUGUGGGAGUUAGAAUUUAUGAGAGAAGGUUCAAGAAAAUCAACCAUGGUGAGAUUCUUCGGCUCCAGAAUCUCCAUUUUGGACAGAAUAAGAUCUUACAUCGAUAAUCCUCGUUCCAGGUUGAGAAAUUCAGCAGCUAAAUCUCAAUGACAUGACGAAGCUGUGGCACAACAUUCCUCUUAUGAAGGAAAUAAUGUACAUUAGUUAUUAUUUGUUUGUGCCAUGUACAUUAGUUAUUAAUGAGAAUCAAUCGUCAUUGUUGGAUGUUUUGCAACCAUUAAACACCGGUCUCUAAUUAAGUCAUUUUUUUUGGGUUAAAUAUCAUUUGGAUCCUUUAAGUUUGAAUGAAAUUUGAAAUUAGU